UGUACACACCGCCCGUCACACCACGAGAGUUUGUAACACCCGAAGUCGGUGAGGUAACCUUUUAGGAGCCAGCCGCCUAAGGUGGGAUAGAUGAUUGGGGUGAAGUCGUAACAAGGUAGCCGUAUCGGAAGGUGCGGCUGGAUCACCUCCUUU
Molecule: ribosomal RNA, 153 nt
Filed under: Streptococcus gordonii
Lineage: Bacteria; Bacillati; Bacillota; Bacilli; Lactobacillales; Streptococcaceae
Also listed under: 10 other names
Description: partial 16S ribosomal RNA
Rfam family: Bacterial small subunit ribosomal RNA
Source: RNAcentral